UGAGGGCCUCUAAAACCUGGG
This 21-nucleotide unclassified non-coding RNA is filed under the name Mus musculus (house mouse). RNAcentral describes it as "oocyte_clustered_small_RNA5834". The record is from RNAcentral. Lineage: Eukaryota; Metazoa; Chordata; Mammalia; Rodentia; Muridae.